CAGCCGCCGCGGGAAUACGUAGGGUGCGAGCGUUAAUCGGAAUUACUGGGCGUAAAGCGUGCGCAGGCGGCUUUUUAAGUCGGAUGUGAAAUCCCUGAGCUUAACUUAGGAAUUGCAUUCGAUACUGGGAAGCUAGAGUAUGGGAGAGGAUGGUAGAAUUCCAGGUGUAGCGGUGAAAUGCGUAGAGAUCUGGAGGAAUACCGAUGGCGAAGGCAGCCAUCUGGCCUAAUACUGACGCUGAGGUACGAAAGCAUGGGGAGCAAACAGGAUUAGAUACCCCUGUAGUCCCUGUCUCUUAUAC
RNAcentral lists this ribosomal RNA (301 nucleotides) under uncultured bacterium. RNAcentral describes it as "partial 16S ribosomal RNA". It matches the Rfam family "Bacterial small subunit ribosomal RNA", at positions 509 to 807 of the family's 1533-position model. The record is from RNAcentral.